AUGAGUAUAGCGGCGGACGGGUGAGUAACGCGUAGGAAUCUACCUAGUAGAAGGGGAUAGCCCGGGGAAACUCGGAUUAAUACCGUAUACCUCCUUUGGGAGAAAGAGGGCCUCUCUUUGAAGCUUUCGCUAUUAGAUGAGCCUGCGUAAGAUUAGCUAGUUGGUGAGGUAAUGGCUCACCAAGGCCACGAUCUUUAGCUGGUCUGAGAGGACGAUCAGCCACAUUGGGACUGAGACACGGCCCAGACUCCUACGGGAGGCAGCAGUGGGGAAUAUUGGACAAUGGGCGCAAGCCUGAUCCAGCCAUACCGCGUGUGUGAAGAAGGCCCUAGGGUUGUAAAGCACUUUAAGCAGGGAGGAAAAGUUAUAAGUUAAUACCUUAUAUCCGUGACGUUACCUGCAGAAUAAGCACCGGCUAAUUCCGUGCCAGCAGCCGCGGUAAUACGGAAGGUGCAAGCGUUAAUCGGAAUUACUGGGCGUAAAGCGCGCGUAGGUGGUUUAUUAAGUUGGAUGUGAAAGCCCUGGGCUCAACCUAGGAAUUGCAUCCAAAACUAAUUCACUAGAGUACGAUAGAGGGAGGUAGAAUUCAUAGUGUAGCGGUGGAAUGCGUAGAUAUUAUGAAGAAUACCAGUGGCGAAGGCGGCCUCCUG
Molecule: ribosomal RNA, 650 nt
Filed under: uncultured marine bacterium
Lineage: Bacteria
Description: bacterial SSU rRNA
Rfam family: Bacterial small subunit ribosomal RNA
Source: RNAcentral